Long non-coding RNA from Lolium perenne, 242 nucleotides. RefSeq lists it as uncharacterized. NCBI's taxonomy places the organism in Eukaryota, Viridiplantae, Streptophyta, Magnoliopsida, Poales, Poaceae. The record is from RefSeq and is a predicted model, not a curated record.
UAAGGUGAGCACGCCAGGCAGCAUCCAGUUUGUUGGCAUGACGGUUAGCCAGUUUUCAGGUCAGAUCAGCAACUCCAGUGGAGAUGACACCUAAGGAUUGCACUUUGUUGAUGUGGAACAGCGAUACGAAUACAAACAAACGAUGUGGCCUGAUCAUCUGAUCUGCAUUGUAGGUGCAGGGUGUGUUCAGAAAAUUCGUUUAAGUCUUCUCCCAUGUUAACUGCAGAUAUUUAGUACCUUCA